Molecule: ribosomal RNA, 172 nt
Filed under: uncultured Chloroflexota bacterium
Lineage: Bacteria; Bacillati; Chloroflexota
Description: uncultured Chloroflexi bacterium partial 16S ribosomal RNA
Rfam family: Bacterial small subunit ribosomal RNA
Source: RNAcentral
CCUACGGGAGGCAGCAGCAAGGAAUUUUCCCCAAUGGGCGCCAGCCUGAGGGAGCAACGCCGCGUGGGGGAGGACGCGUUUCGGCGUGUAAACCCCUUUUCCGAGGGACGAAGCAAGUGACGGUACCUCGGGAAGAAGGCCCGGCUAACUACGUGCCAGCAGCCGCGGUAAU